RNAcentral lists this ribosomal RNA (319 nucleotides) under uncultured bacterium. Its description in RNAcentral is "bacterial SSU rRNA". It matches the Rfam family "Bacterial small subunit ribosomal RNA", at positions 86 to 422 of the family's 1533-position model. The record is from RNAcentral.
GCAAGGGGAGCGGCAGACGGGAGAGUAACACGUGGGAACGUGCCCUUUGGUUCGGAACAACCCAGGGAAACUUGGGCUAAUACCGGAUACGUCCGUAAGGAGAAAGAUUUAUCGCCAAAGGAUCGGCCCGCGUCUGAUUAGCUUGUUGGUGAGGUAACGGCUCACCAAGGCGACGAUCAGUAGCUGGUCUGAGAGGAUGAUCAGCCUCACUGGGACUGAGACACGGCCCAGACUCCUACGGGAGGCAGCAGUGGGGAAUAUUGGACAAUGGGCGCAAGCCUGAUCCAGCCAUGCCGCGUGGGUGAUGAAGGCCCUAGGG